This 468-nucleotide ribosomal RNA is filed under the name uncultured bacterium. RNAcentral's name for it is "partial 16S ribosomal RNA". It matches the Rfam family "Bacterial small subunit ribosomal RNA", at positions 28 to 507 of the family's 1533-position model. The record is from RNAcentral.
GACGAACGCUGGCGGCGUGCUUAACACAUGCAAGUCGAACGGAAAGGCCCUGCUUUUGUGGGGUGCUCGAGUGGCGAACGGGUGAGUAACACGUGAGUAACCUGCCCUUGACUUUGGGAUAACUUCAGGAAACUGGGGCUAAUACCGGAUAGGAGCUCCUGCUGCAUGGUGGGGGUUGGAAAGUUUCGGCGGUUGGGGAUGGACUCGCGGCUUAUCAGCUUGUUGGUGGGGUAGUGGCUUACCAAGGCUUUGACGGGUAGCCGGCCUGAGAGGGUGACCGGCCACAUUGGGACUGGGAUACGGCCCAGCCUCCUACGGGAGGCAGCAGUGGGGAAUAUUGCACAAUGGGCGGAGGCCUGAUGCAGCAACGCCGCGUGCGGGAUGACGGCCUUCGGGUUGUAAACCGCUUUCGCCUGUGACGAAGCGUGAGUGACGGUAAGGGGUAAAGAAGCACCGGCUAACUACGUG